RNAcentral lists this ribosomal RNA (252 nucleotides) under uncultured bacterium. RNAcentral describes it as "partial 16S ribosomal RNA". It matches the Rfam family "Bacterial small subunit ribosomal RNA", at positions 524 to 776 of the family's 1533-position model. The record is from RNAcentral.
UACGGAGGAUGCGAGCGUUAUCCGGAUUUAUUGGGUUUAAAGGGUGCGUAGGCGGACCAGUAAGUCAGCGGUAAAAAUGCGGUGCUCAACGCCGUAGUGCCGUUGAAACUGCAGGUCUUGAGUGAGCGAGAAGUAUGCGGAAUGCGUGGUGUAGCGGUGAAAUGCAUAGAUAUCACGCAGAACUCCGAUUGCGAAGGCAGCUCACUGGAGCGCAACUGACGCUGAAGCUCGAAAGUGCGGGUAUCGAACAGG